Molecule: ribosomal RNA, 495 nt
Filed under: uncultured bacterium
Lineage: Bacteria
Description: partial 16S ribosomal RNA
Rfam family: Bacterial small subunit ribosomal RNA
Source: RNAcentral
GACGAACGCUGGCGGCGUGCCUAAUACAUGCAAGUAGAACGCUGAAGGAGGAGCUUGCUUCUCUGGAUGAGUUGCGAACGGGUGAGUAACGCGUAGGUAACCUGCCUGGUAGCGGGGGAUAACUAUUGGAAACGAUAGCUAAUACCGCAUAAGAGUAGAUGUUGCAUGACAUUUGCUUAAAAGGUGCAAUUGCAUCACUACCAGAUGGACCUGCGUUGUAUUAGCUAGUUGGUGGGGUAACGGCUUACCAAGGCGACGAAACAUAGCCGACCUGGGAGGGGGAUCCGCCCCCCUGGGACCGGGACACGGGCCAGAAUCCUUCGGGAAGCAGGAGUAGGGAAUCCUCGGGAAUGGACGGAAGUCUGGACGAGCAAAGCCGCGUGAGUGAAGAAGGGUCUCGGAUCGUAAAGCUCUGUUGUAAGAGAAGAACGAGUGUGAGAGUGGAAAGUUCACACUGUGACGGUAUCUUACCAGAAAGGGACGGCUAACUACGUG